UGGGGAAUAUUGGACAAUGGGCGAAAGCCUGAUCCAGCAAUGCCGCGUGUGUGAAGAAGGUCUUCGGAUCGUAAAGCACUUUCGACAGGGACGAUGAUGACGGUACCUGUAGAAGAAGCCCCGGCUAACUUCGUGCCAGCAGCCGCGGUAAUACGAAGGGGCUAGCGUUACUCGGAAUUACUGGGCGUAAAGGGCGCGUAGGCGGCUUGGCCAGUCAGGCGUGAAAUUCCUGGGCUUAACCUGGGGACUGCGCUUGAUACUGCCAGGCUUGAGGCCGAGAGAGGGUGGUGGAAUUCCCAGUGUAGAGGUGAAAUUCGUAGAUAUUGGGAAGGACACCGGUGGCGAAGGCG
Molecule: ribosomal RNA, 350 nt
Filed under: uncultured bacterium
Lineage: Bacteria
Description: bacterial SSU rRNA
Rfam family: Bacterial small subunit ribosomal RNA
Source: RNAcentral